AGGACGAACGCUUGCGGCGUGCCUAAGAAAUGCAAGUCGAGCGGGGGAAGCAAUUCCCUAGCGGCGAACGGUCGCGUAACACGUAGGCAACCUGCCCAAGAGACCGGGACAACACUUCGAAGGGGGUGCUAAUACCGGAUGCGGCUGCUUCCUCGCAUGGGGAAGCAACUAAAUCAUUUAUGGCUCUUGGAGGGGCCUGCGGCCUAUCAGCUAGAUGGUGGGGUAACGGCCUACCAUGGCGACGACGGGUAGCUGGUCUGAGAGGAUGGUCAGCCGGACUGGGACUGAGAUACGGCCCAGACUCCUACGGGGGGCAGCAAUUAGGAAUCUUGCGCAAUGGGGGCAACCCUGACGCAGCGACGUCGCGUGGAGGAAGACGGCCUUCGGUUGUAACUCCUUUUACCAGGGAAGAGCAAGGACGGUACCUGGUGAAUAAGCCCGGCUAACUCCGUGCCAGCAGCCGC
Molecule: ribosomal RNA, 464 nt
Filed under: uncultured bacterium
Lineage: Bacteria
Description: SSU rRNA
Rfam family: Bacterial small subunit ribosomal RNA
Source: RNAcentral